AGAGUUUGAUCCUGGCUCAGAACGAACGCUGGCAGCGUGGAUUAGGCAUGCAAGUCGAACGAGAACCCUGGGUGUAGCAAUACAUCUGGGGGGACAGUGGCGAAAGGGUGAGUAAUGCGUGGGCAAUCUACCUUUAAGACCGGGACAACCCCGCGAAAGCGGAGCUAAUACCGGAUGUGGUGGUCCGGCGAGUGCUGGAUUGACUAAAGGUGGGGACCUUCGGGCCUGCCGCUUGAAGAGGAGCCCACGUCCCAUCAGCUAGUUGGUAGGGUAACGGCCUACCAAGGCUUACGGGUAGCUGGUCUGAGAGGAUGGUCAGCCACACUGGGACUGAGACACUGCCCAGACUCCUACGGGAGGCUGCAGUCGAGGAUCUUUUGCAAUGGGCGAAAGCCUGACAAAGCGACGCUGCGUGGAGGAUGAAGGCCUUCGGGUUGUAAACUCCUGUCAUCCGGGAAAAACCGUUGUCUGGAGAAUGCCCAGACAAUCUGAUGGUACCGGAAGAGGAAGCCACGGCCAACUCUGUGCCAGCAGCCGCGGUAAUACAGAGGUGGCGAGCGUUGUUCGGAUUUACUGGGCGUAAAGGGUGCGUAGGUGGCGUGGUGUGUCGGGCGUGAAAGCCCACGGCUUAACUGUGGAACUGCGUCCGAAACUGCCGUGCUCGAGUGCAGGAAAGGAGAGCGGAAUUCUUGGUGUAGCGGUGAAAUGCGCUGAUAUCAAGAGGAACACCGGUGGCGAAGUCGGCUCUCUGGAAUGCAACUGACACCGAGGCACGAAAGCUGGGGGAGCAAACAGGAUUAGAUACCCUGGUAGUCCCAGCCCUAAACGGUGUGAACUUGGCGUGGGGGGAAUUGACCCCCCCCGUGCCGAAGCUAACGCGUUAAGUUCACCGCCUGGGGAGUACUGUCGCAAGAUUAAAACUCAAAGAAAUUGACGGGGGCCCGCACAAGCGGAGGAGCAUGUGGCUCAAUUCGAUGCAACGCGAAGAACCUUACCAGGGCUUGACAUGUAGGUGCACGCCCGCUGAAAGGCGGGAAGCCUUCGAGGGUCCUACACAGGUGCUGCAUGGCUGUCGUCAGUUCGUGCCGUGAGGUGUUGGGUUAAGUCCCGCAACGAACGCAACCCUUGUGUCUAGUUGCAACCACGGGUGAUGAAUCCGUGGGCACUCUAGACAGACUGCCCGUGCAAGCGGGAGGAAGGUGGGGAUGACGUCAAGUCAGUAUGGCCUUUAUGCCCUGGGCCGCACACGUGCUACAAUGGCCGGAACAGAAGGAAGCAAAGCCGCGAGGUGAAGCAAAUCCCCAAAACCGGCCCCAGUUCAGAUUGAAGUCUGCAACUCGACUUCAUGAAGCCGGAUUCGCUAGUAAUGGCGCAUCAGCUACGGCGCCGUGAAUACGUUCCCGGGCCUUGUACACACCGCCCGUCACAUCAUGAAAGCCGUCUGCACCCGCAGUCACUGUACCAACCCGCAAGGGAGGAAGGUGCCGAAGGUGUGGGGGGUGAUUGGGAUGAAGUCGUAACAAGGUAAC
Molecule: ribosomal RNA, 1529 nt
Filed under: uncultured bacterium
Lineage: Bacteria
Description: bacterial SSU rRNA
Rfam family: Bacterial small subunit ribosomal RNA
Source: RNAcentral